RNAcentral lists this ribosomal RNA (836 nucleotides) under uncultured archaeon. RNAcentral describes it as "bacterial SSU rRNA". It matches the Rfam family "Archaeal small subunit ribosomal RNA", at positions 19 to 861 of the family's 1478-position model. The record is from RNAcentral.
GGACCUGACUGCUAUCGGAUUGGUACUAAGCCAUGUGAGUCGUUGUAGCAAUACAAGGCAUACGGCUCAGUAACACGUAGUCAAUCUAACCUAUGGACGGGGAUAACCUCGGGAAACUGAGGAUAAAACCCGAUAGAUCAUAAUGCCUGGAACGGUUUAUGGUCCAAAUGAUUCGUCGCCGUAGGGUGGGACUGCGGCCUAUCAGCUUGUUGGUGAGGUAAUGGCCCACCAAGGCUAUUACAGGUACGGGCUCUGAGAGGAGAAGCCCGGAGAUGGGUACCGAGACACGGACCCAGGCCCUAUGGGGCGCAGCAGGCGAGAAACCUUUGCAAUGUGCGCAAGCACGACAAGGUUAAUCCGAGUGUUUCCUGUUAAAGGAAUCUUUUGUUAGUCGUAAAAUCACUAUUGAAUAAGGGGUGGGCAAGUUCUGGUGUCAGCCGCCGCGGUAAAACCAGCACCUCAAGUGGUCAGGAUGAUUAUUGGGCCUAAAGCAUCCGUAGCCUGUUCUGUAAGUUUUCGGUUAAAUCCAUUAGCUCAACUAAUGGGCCGCCGAAAAUACUGCAGAACUAGGGAGUGGGAGAGGUAGACGGUACUCGGUAGGAAGGGGUAAAAUCCUUUGAUCUAUUGAUGACCACCUGUGGCGAANGCGGUCUACCAGAACACGUUCGACGGUGAGGGAUGAAAGCUGGGGGAGCAAACCGGAUUAGAUACCCGGGUAGUCCCAGCUGUAAACGAUGCAGACUCGGUGAUGCGCUGGCUUGUGGCCAGUGCAGUGCCGCAGGGAAGCCGUUAAGUUUGCCGCCUGGGAAGUACGUACGCAAGUAUGAAACUUAAAG